Long non-coding RNA from Ictalurus punctatus (channel catfish), 784 nucleotides. The record is from Ensembl. Lineage: Eukaryota; Metazoa; Chordata; Actinopteri; Siluriformes; Ictaluridae.
GAGCGGUAGUGUAAUGUAAGUGGUAGUGGAGCGGUAGUGUAAUGUAGUGGAGUGGUAGUGGAGCGGUAGUGUAAUGUAGUGGAGUGGUAGUGGAGCGGUAGUGUAGUGGUAUGGUAGUGGAGUGGUAGUGGAGUGGUAGUGUAAUGUAGUGUAGUGGUAGUGGAGCGGUAGUGUAAUGUAGUGGAGUGGUAGUGGAGUGGUAGUGGAGCGGUAGUGUAAUGUAGUGGAGUGGUAGUGGAGCGGUAGUGUAAUGUAGUGGAGUGGUAGUGUAGUGGUAGUGGAGCGGUAGUGUAAUGUAGUGGAGUGGUAGUGGUAGUGUAGUGGUAGUGGAGUGGUAGUGUAGUGGUAGUGGAGCGGUAGUGUAAUGUAGUGGAGUGGUAGUGUAGUGUAGUGGUAGUGGAGUGGUAGUGUAAUGUAGUGUAGUGGAGUGGUAGUUGUAGUGGAGCGGUAGUGUAAUGUAGUGGAGUGGUAGUGUAAUGUAGUGGAGUGGUAGUGUAAUGUAGUGGUAGUGGAGUGGUAGUGUAAUGUAGUGGAGUGGAGUGGUAGUGUAAUGUAGUGGUAGUGGAGUGGUAGUGUAAUGUAGUGGAGCGGUAGUGUAAUGUAGUGGAGUGGAGUGGUAGUGUAAUGUAGUGGUAGUGGUAGUGGAGUGGUAGUGUAAUGUAGUGGAGUGGUAGUGGAGUGGUAGUGUAAUGUAGUGGAGUGGUAGUGUAGUGGUAGUGUAAUGUAGUGUAGUGGAGAAAGUUGUGGGUCUGUCUCUUUAAGGUUUCAGCGCUGGAAAGGGAGG